CAGGAUUCCCUCAGUAGCGGCGAGCGAACAGGGAAGAGCCCAGCGCCGAAUCUCGCGUCCGUGCGUCGGGCGUCGAGAAAUGUGGCGUUAGGGAGGGUCCGCCCAUCCCGUGACGGCUCGGCGCGUCCAAGUCCUUCUUGAACGGGGCCACUUACCCAGAGAGGGUGCCAGGCCCGUAGAGACCGCCGACCGCCGCGGGAGGACCUCUCCUCAGAGUCGGGUUGCUUGAGAGUGCAGCCCUAAGCGGGUGGUAAACUCCAUCUAAGGCUAAAUACGACCACGAGACCGAUAGCGAACAAGUACCGUGAGGGAAAGUUGAAAAGAACUUUGAAGAGAGAGUUCAAGAGUACGUGAAACCGUUCAGGGGUAAACCUGAGAAGCCCGAAAGGUCGACGGGGCAGAUUCAACCGCGUCUCGGCGCGCGGCGAGCGUGACGCGCGCGACGGCCCGGCGUUCGCGCCGGUCCGCGCCGCGCCAAGCCGUCCGCCGCCGAAUGCGUGCACUUCUGCCCCUGUAGGACGUCGCGACCCGUUGGGUGCCGGCCUAAGGCCCGCGGAGGAGACCGCGCGGACGCUCGCGUCCCGCUCGGACCCGCGGUGCUCCCGGCCGGCUCGCCCGACGGUAUGCGUGAGGCGUUGGGCCGCGACAGUUCGCGCUGUCGCGUCCGGCCCGCCGCAAGCUCGGACGGUAAACCGUCGGUCGGACCCGGUGCCGGCCCCGGUCCCGCCCGGCUGCUGGCGGCGGUGCCCUCGGACAGGCUUCGAGAGCGCCCGUCGGCGACGCAAUCGCUUUGGGCAGUUUCAGGACCCGUCUUGAAACACGGACCAAGGAGUCUAGCAUGUGCGCGAGUCUUCGGUGCUAAAACUAAGACCGCAGGCGAAAUGAAAGUGAAGGCCCGCCUAGCGCGGGCUCAGGGAGGAUGGGCGGCGUCCAGGCGCCGCCUCGCACUCCCGGGGCGUCUCGCGCUCAUCGCGAGCUGAGGCGCACCCAGAGCGUACACGCUGGGACCCGAAAGAUGGUGAACUAUGCCUGGUCAGGACGAAGUCAGGGGAAACCCUGAUGGAGGUCCGUAGCGAUUCUGACGUGCAAAUCGAUCGUCGGAACUGGGUAUAGGGGCGAAAGACUAAUCGAACCAUCUAGUAGCUGGUUCCCUCCGAAGUUUCCCUCAGGAUAGCUGGCGCUCGUAGAGCGAGUUUCAUCCGGUAAAGCGAAUGAUUAGAGGCAUUGGGGUCGAAACGGCCUCAACCUAUUCUCAAACUUUAAAUGGGUGAGAUCUCCGGCUUGCUCGAACUUGAAGCCGCGAGACGAAUUUUAACGCAGAAUCAGAG
This 1328-nucleotide ribosomal RNA is filed under the name Dascillus sp. DDM0608. RNAcentral's name for it is "eukaryotic LSU rRNA". It matches the Rfam family "Eukaryotic large subunit ribosomal RNA", at positions 70 to 1132 of the family's 3401-position model. Lineage: Eukaryota; Metazoa; Arthropoda; Insecta; Coleoptera; Dascillidae. The record is from RNAcentral.